This 2432-nucleotide long non-coding RNA is filed under the name Oryzias javanicus (javanese ricefish). Its description in RNAcentral is "lncRNA (ENSOJAG00000014790.1)". The record is from RNAcentral. Lineage: Eukaryota; Metazoa; Chordata; Actinopteri; Beloniformes; Adrianichthyidae.
UGAAGAUAAAGUAACCAGAAGUCUUAGAGAGGAAGUAACGGUCAGCUGCGUGAAAAGAAACUUCCUGGAAACUUAAUGUAGUGUGAAAAAAAAAGAAAUGUAUAAAAGAAGAAGGAAGAGGUGAAGAACUAGAGCAUGACAAAAAACUGAGCACAGAUCAGUUUGAGGAGACGAGGAGAAGAAAAAGGCUUGACGGUGUUUCUGAAAGUGUUUCCACCCGUUGAGUUGCUGUUUCUUGUGAGUUUUUGAGCGAAGAAGGUUCAUCCAGUGGAGGAAAAGAUCUGUUGCAGAAAAUGUUUGCUGCCAAAGUGCUAAUUCUCGUCUUGGUCGUCACAGGUAAAAGGGCAUCAUCGAUCAUUUAAACUGUUUUUUUUUUUUUUUUUACACUUUAUGCAAAGUUUUUAAAGAAAAAGUAAAUAAAGAUGCUAUUGGCUUUGGGAUUUCUUCAUUUUCUUCAUAAAUGUGACUUUUCUUGUUUUUCGUUGCAUAUUUGUUGUGGUCUAAAGGUCAUUAUGGGAGUGAAAUCUCUUCGACUACUACAAGAACAAGCCCGGUGACACAAAAUCCCCCAAAACUGAAGAUCAAACACAAAACCAAACCACAAGUAAGUAUGAAUUAAUAAUAUUUAAAAAGGUCAUCAUUGUUACAUAAGUAGUAUUAAGUGCAAACUGGAUUCACACUCAAUUCCCUUUUCUGUUUGUUGUUCUUAUCUUUAGUGGUCACAGCGGUCAACAGCUCCGACACCAGUAUGACAAAUAAAACCAACGUAUCUAAGGUAAAGGCAACAUUUUCAAAAUAAUUAUUUUAAAUAAAUUAAAAAAGUUUCGGACUUAACAAUAUGCAAAAAAGUGACCCUGUAAAAUGUUUUUUUUUUAUAUAUAUUCUUAAGAGGGGAAGAAAUUCUGGUACAGCAAAGGUAAGCAGGAACACUAUGAAAAUUUAUUUCUACCAUUAAAAAUUUGUGUUGUAAAUGUUUGGUUUUCGAAAUAACAACCAUGAAAAUUUGAUCUCAGAUCUGUUUAAAAAUGUGACGGAAAGUAUCCAGGAACUGCCGGGCAUGAUUUUAUUUGGAUCGGGGUUUCUGAUGGGAAUCGUUCUCACGACAUUGAUCGUCUGCAUCACCAAAGCUUGUCAAAGAGGCAAGAAGAAAAGAUCAUCCUAUCAAUUGGGAGACCAGGAGAUGAAUACCCAAGCCUCAACAAAGGUGGAUGGAGAUGCAGUCCAGGAUGAAGAGUCAGCGGGACAGUUGUUACCCAAUGGGGACGGGGCUCCAAAAGAAGCAGAGUACUCUGAUCUUGACUUCUCUGCGGCAAAAAACAGGAAGGCCCCAGAGGUCAGGACAAUCGGAGAGACUGAAUACGCUGAGAUUAAAAUAGAAAACCAAGCAGAGAAUGCUGAGGAUUGGAAAUAUUGGAGAUUAACCACGAAACACUGAAGGAAGAUGAAAAUGAAGGGGAAAUGCUUUGCGUCCCGCCUGAAGAGGCAGCCACAGAAGACUUCUCUGGAGAGUUCAUUGAAGAGUUCUCUGGACAGAUUACUGAUGAGACCUGAACUCUAACUGCUAAUGGAGUAAUAUACAAAAAAAAAGAUUUUAUUUUAUACAUGUAUUAUAUGCAUUGACCGUUUAUGAGAACUGGACUGAAUCACUCCUCCCCUCUUGCAUUCUAAACAGGAAGUAUCCACUGGCUCCAAGAAGCCAAAAUCCCAGAGACUUCUAUUGAGAAUUAAGCAGCUACGACUCAGUCAUUACAUUUGUUAUAAUAACCAUUCUCGUUUUAACAUUUUUUUUGCUAAUUCUACUUUUUUGUUAUAAUAUUUUCAUAGUGCAAGUUACUUGAGUCCUAAACUGUUCAAUCAGGUGCCUCAAAAGAAUGUGGCGCCCGCUGCCUACGUCAAACAUGAUUUCAAUCUGACAGAUCUUAUGUCAUCUCAUCCAUUCUGAAGUGAGAGGGGUGUGGACUUCCAAUAAGCUAACUUCUAAUUAGUGAGAGUGGUUACCAUAGAAACACUGACUGACACCAACGUGGACCAAUCCCUGCUCACUGAUGUCAUCUGGCUCCAACAAGGCAGUGUCUGUUUAUAUAUGUUUAGCUGAAUUUAGUUAUUUUUGUGGAAACUGGAAGUAGGUAAUUUUUUUUUUUUUUUGGUCAUGUCACACUUUCAGUCCAGUUCUCAUGUACUGCCAAUCAAAUUAAGCUUUAUUUGUAAAUAUAUAUGCUUUUCAUGGCACACAGCUCAAACUGCUUUAUAGUUAAAAAUAAACAUGAGGACAAAAAAAAAAAAAACAUAAUAAUGAUGAAAACAAACCUAUCCUUUGCCUGCUCCUUAACCUCCAUUGACUCACAAUGAAAAUAAUGACAGCAGUUAUGAAAAAGACUUUGGGUGUUGUUUAGGAACACAAUCUUGCUUUAUAUUACCACUUUUUCCACAAU